UAAGGAAUAUUGGACAAUGGAGGCAACUCUGAUCCAGCCAUGCCGCGUGAAGGAAUAAAGCCCUAUGGGUUGUAAACUUCUUUUAGACGGGACAAAACCCCUUUACGUGUAAAGGGUUGAUGGUACUGUCAGAAUAAGCAUCGGCUAACUUCGUGCCAGCAGCCGCGGUAAUACGAAGGAUGCAAGCGUUAUCCGGAAUUAUUGGGUUUAAAGGGUGCGUAGGCGGACUAAUAAGUCAGUGGUGAAAGCCUGCAGCUUAACUGCAGAAUUGCCAUGGAUACUGUUAGUCUUGAGUACAGUUGAGGUAGGCGGAAUGUGGCAUGUAGUGGUGAAAUGCUUAGAUAUGACACAGAACACCGAUUACGAAGGCAGCUUGCUAAGCUGUAACUGACGCUGAAGCACGAAAGCGUGGGGAGC
RNAcentral lists this ribosomal RNA (417 nucleotides) under uncultured bacterium. RNAcentral's name for it is "bacterial SSU rRNA". It matches the Rfam family "Bacterial small subunit ribosomal RNA", at positions 355 to 769 of the family's 1533-position model. The record is from RNAcentral.